This 464-nucleotide ribosomal RNA is filed under the name uncultured bacterium. RNAcentral describes it as "SSU rRNA". It matches the Rfam family "Bacterial small subunit ribosomal RNA", at positions 26 to 518 of the family's 1533-position model. The record is from RNAcentral.
AGAAUCAACGCUGGCGGCGUGCCUAACACAUGCAAGUCGAACGAGAAAGGGUAGCAAUACCUGAGUAAAGUGGCGCACGGGUGAGUAACACGUGACUAACCUACCUUUUAGUGGGGGAUAACCUAGGGAAACCUGGGCUAAUACCGCAUAAUACCUACGGGUCAAAGCAGCAAUGCGCUGAAUGAGGGGGUCGCGGUCGAUUAGUUAGUUGGCAGGGUAAUGGCCUACCAAGACUGUGAUCGAUAUCCGGCCUGAGAGGGCGCACGGACACACUGGAACUGAAACACGGUCCAGACUCCUACGGGAGGCAGCAGUGGGGAAUUUUGCGCAAUGGGGGAAACCCUGACGCAGCAACGCCGCGUGGAGGAUGAAGUCCCGUUGGGACGUAAACUCCUUUCGAUCGGGACGAUAAUGACGGUACCGGAAGAAGAACGCCCCGGCUAACGUUCGCGCCAGCACGCCGC